RNAcentral lists this ribosomal RNA (253 nucleotides) under uncultured bacterium. RNAcentral's name for it is "partial 16S ribosomal RNA". It matches the Rfam family "Bacterial small subunit ribosomal RNA", at positions 524 to 776 of the family's 1533-position model. The record is from RNAcentral.
UACAGAGGGUGCGAGCGUUAAUCGGAGUUACUGGGCGUAAAGGGCGCGUAGGCGGUUGUGUAAGUGAGAUGUGAAAUCCCUGGGCUUAACCUAGGAACUGCAUCUUAUACUGCAUGGCUUGAGUACUGUAGAGGGUAGUGGAAUUUCCGGUGUAGCGGUGAAAUGCGUAGAGAUCGGAAGGAACACCAGUGGCGAAGGCGGCUACCUGGACAGAUACUGACGCUGAGGCGCGAAAGCGUGGGGAGCAAACAGG